RNAcentral lists this ribosomal RNA (424 nucleotides) under uncultured prokaryote. Its description in RNAcentral is "bacterial SSU rRNA". It matches the Rfam family "Bacterial small subunit ribosomal RNA", at positions 355 to 776 of the family's 1533-position model. RNAcentral also lists the same sequence under 1 other name. The record is from RNAcentral.
UGAGGAAUAUUGGUCAAUGGAGGCAACUCUGAACCAGCCAAGUAGCGUGCAGGAUGACGGCCCUAUGGGUUGUAAACUGCUUUUAUGCGGGGAUAAAUGAUCCUACGUGUAGGAUUUUGCAGGUACCGCAUGAAUAAGGACCGGCUAAUUCCGUGCCAGCAGCCGCGGUAAUACGGAAGGUCCAGGCGUUAUCCGGAUUUAUUGGGUUUAAAGGGAGCGUAGGCGGCCUGUUAAGCGUGUUGUGAAAUGUAGAGGCUCAACCUCUGCACUGCAGCGCGAACUGGCGGGCUUGAGUUGGCUGAAAGUAUGCGGAAUUCGUGGUGUAGCGGUGAAAUGCUUAGAUAUCACGAAGAACUCCGAUUGCGAAGGCAGCAUGCUGUAGCCUUACUGACGCUGAAGCUCGAAGGUGCGGGUAUCGAACAGG